GGGGAAAGUCUAAAUAAUUGACCAUAAGGAAUGAGUUAAGUAAAUGAUGAUGCAUCUACUUGAGCGAUUAUUAUCUCAUUUUUAAAGGGAUGAUUAUUUCAAAAUUUUGCAAAAUGAAGAAACGCUAAUGACAAUGUUAAAUUAGAAAAACAAACGUCAACCCUCAAAUUGUGGUUCAAAAUUGUGUUAGUCAGGAGAGGGUAGGUCACGCAGGAGUAAGAAACAACCUAAAAAUCUCAAUGGUUUAAGACAAUGAAAGUUUGUUUACGGCUCGCAAUUAGUCGGUUGCCUCUUGGGCAGGUUCUCCCCGCCUCCGUCCCGUGCAUCGUCCAUCUUUCUCGCCACUUUGUUGGAGCGCGGGAUGAAUGACGUCCUCGCGAAGCACCGUGCUAGCCAAUUACUGGAGUUUCUGCCUCCUCCUGUAGACACGUGGCUGUCCACAGUCAGAAAUCAUCAGACAUGUCAAGAUCAAACAUCAUGCAAAUCAGCAUUUAGAGGACAAGCAAAAACAAAGGAAGUCCUGCCCCGGAAAUGACUCCCAGUAUUAUGAGGGAGGCACUGCUGGUAAGGGAGUCUCUGCUCAGGUGGCACAAGCGCCAACGGGAAGCUUGGCUCAGCGCCUUCUCAUCUCCUCCGAGGCAGGGUGCCUGCUGAGAUCAGCCCGGGAUGACUCUGCCUGCAUAACCCAUCAUCCUGACAGCAGAGCUACAAUUUGUCUGACUCCAUGUCAUAGUUCAUCUUGUGCUGUCACUUUCAGUCCGGCCGCUAAUAUUACUCACGAGAGUCCAAGAGGGUUGAAGCUAAGAUCAUUGAUGACAGUUGUCCGGUUUCCUGCAGCACAAACACCUUGUGGAGGAGGGCAUUUGAUUGAAAAUCUCUUGCUCCAGCCCGGAAAGCCUACAUCUAUGGCCGCAUGGGGAGUUACCUACAACGAGUUGACUGAGGAAGAUAAAACACGGGCCUGGUUUACAGAUGGUUCUGUUCAAUAUGCAGGCACCACCAGAAUGUAGACAGCUGUAAUGCUAAAGCUCCUUUCUAAGACUUCCCUGAAGAAAUUGGAGAAGAGAAAUCUUCCCAACAGACAGAACUUUGAGCAGUGCACCUGGUUAUUCAUUUUGCUUAGAAGGAGAUGGCCAGAGCAUCAGAAAGCGGGAAGGAAUGUCUGCCCUGUUCUCAGCCACAUCCCAAGAUUUUCAACCCCACCUCUGAGCUCUGAGAAGAGUCAUCACGUUCCAUGGGUGAAGAGGCAUCCUACCUCUCUAGGUCUUGAAAGAUCCCUAGACUAUAGUUAAAAAAAAAAGAAGAUGGAUAAUUUAAAGGGCAGUGUAAACAAUAAAACUACUAAAGGUCAAUUGAUCUGAACUGUCUGGCAGCCAGAGCCUGGGGCCCUCAGUGAUAGGAGAGCGAGGCUGCAGUUACAGAGCGCUGGGUCAGUGCCAGCUCAAA
Molecule: long non-coding RNA, 1446 nt
Filed under: Equus caballus (horse)
Lineage: Eukaryota; Metazoa; Chordata; Mammalia; Perissodactyla; Equidae
Description: lncRNA (ENSECAG00000044070.1)
Source: RNAcentral